GAAUAUGGUUGUUUUGAAGCAAUAUAUGAUAAAAUUCCAAAUGAAAUUAGAGAAGGUAUUUUUGGUAUUUCAAAAGAAAUAUUUGAAUUUCCUUUAGAGACCAAAGUGAAAAAUUAUUCAGAAAUACCAUUACAUGGCUAUUUAGGAAUGAUUCCACACUUGCCAUUUUAUGGGAGUUUGUGUAUUCCUGAUUUGCUUAAUCCUCAAAAUGUUGAAACUUUUGCUAAUAUCUUUUGGCCUCAUGGUAAUCCUGAUUUCUGCAAUUUGGUAAAAGCUUACUCAAAUCCACUUAUGGAAUUGGAUGAAUUGUUGAAAAGGAUGAUUUUGGAGAAUUUGGGAUUAGAAAAUCAUAUUGAUGAAUUGUUG
Molecule: long non-coding RNA, 366 nt
Organism: Solanum tuberosum (potato)
Lineage: Eukaryota; Viridiplantae; Streptophyta; Magnoliopsida; Solanales; Solanaceae
Exons: 2
Source: RefSeq, a predicted model, not a curated record